This 27-nucleotide small RNA is filed under the name Bombyx mori (domestic silkworm). Its description in RNAcentral is "piRNA piR-bmo-2010054". Lineage: Eukaryota; Metazoa; Arthropoda; Insecta; Lepidoptera; Bombycidae. The record is from RNAcentral.
UAUUGUGCAGAAUUUGGACUCUGGAAA